RNAcentral lists this long non-coding RNA (199 nucleotides) under Elaeis guineensis (African oil palm). Its description in RNAcentral is "long non-coding RNA (EGUI_LNC045681)". Lineage: Eukaryota; Viridiplantae; Streptophyta; Magnoliopsida; Arecales; Arecaceae. The record is from RNAcentral.
GACCUCACCCUCAAUCCUUCUACACCUAAUUCUCUCUCACUAGAAGUUCCCCUGACAAAAGCUCUCUCUCUCUUGGAAGACCCCCUGAACCCCUGAAGUGCCUGGCGACCACUGUCCAGGAGCCUCCUGCUCCUUGUCUCUCAGCGCUUCUGCCUCUCUCUUCUUCCUCUUCUUGGGUUCCACACGGUCUCAGGCAAAA